RNAcentral lists this ribosomal RNA (400 nucleotides) under uncultured bacterium. RNAcentral's name for it is "bacterial SSU rRNA". It matches the Rfam family "Bacterial small subunit ribosomal RNA", at positions 355 to 767 of the family's 1533-position model. The record is from RNAcentral.
UGGGGAAUAUUGCACAAUGGGCGAAAGCCUGAUGCAGCGACGCCGCGUGGAGGAUGACGGCCUUCGGGUUGUAAACUCCUUUCAGCAGGGAAGAAGCGAAAGUGACGGUACCUGCAGAAGAAGCACCGGCUAACUACGUGCCAGCAGCCGCGGUAAUACGUAGGGUGCAAGCGUUGUCCGGAAUUAUUGGGCGUAAAGAGCUCGUAGGCGGUCUGUCGCGUCUGGUGUGAAAACUUGAGGCUCAACCUUAAGCCUGCAUCGGGUACGGGCAGACUAGAGUACUGUAGGGGAGACUGGAAUUCCUGGUGUAGCGGUGGAAUGCGCAGAUAUCAGGAGGAACACCGAUGGCGAAGGCAGGUCUCUGGGCAGUUACUGACGCUGAGGAGCGAAAGCAUGGGGA